AAGUCGUAACAAGGUUUCCGUAGGUGAACCUGCGGAAGGAUCAUUAAGAUAAAACAGUGGCUAGCAUACUCUCAAGCAUGCGAAUCGUCAAACCAUUUCUGAGUACAUCACUUCCGCGUUGCUUUCGCAGGUGGAGACCGGCGCAAACGCGGGACGACUCUUUUGGAGGUCCCGGACACGCGUCGCAAUCUGCGAAAGGGUCAGGAUUUUUUAAAUUCUCGUGUUUAAACGUCGUCCGUCCUCGUCUGAAACUAUAAUUACAAAACUACAAAAACUUUCAACAACGGAUCUCUUGGUUCUC
RNAcentral lists this unclassified non-coding RNA (301 nucleotides) under fungal sp. RNAcentral's name for it is "partial internal transcribed spacer region". The stretch from base 1 to 46 matches the Rfam family "Eukaryotic small subunit ribosomal RNA", at positions 1786 to 1831 of the family's 1831-position model. Lineage: Eukaryota; Fungi. The record is from RNAcentral.